RNAcentral lists this ribosomal RNA (487 nucleotides) under Longileptoneta gachangensis. RNAcentral describes it as "partial large subunit ribosomal RNA". It matches the Rfam family "Eukaryotic large subunit ribosomal RNA", at positions 593 to 1017 of the family's 3401-position model. The record is from RNAcentral. Lineage: Eukaryota; Metazoa; Arthropoda; Arachnida; Araneae; Leptonetidae.
ACCGACGCAUUUCUUCCCGCUCUGGGACGUCGCAGCCGGUUGGGUGCCGAGCGCGGUAACAAGUAGUGUGUGCCGAUGCUCCGUCGAUUAUGGCUCCCGCAGGGGAUGGCGGCUUGCGGCGAGUAAGUCGGUAACCCACCCGACCCGUCUUGAAACACGGACCAAGGAGUCUAACUUGUGCGCGAGUCAUGGGGUCUUGAACAGGCCCAGAGGCGCAGCGAAAGUGAAGUUGGGAUUCCGCGGACGCACCAGCGGCCGGAUCGGUGCUCGAGCGCACACGUUGGGACCCGAAAGAUGGUGAACUAUGCCCGGCCAGGGCGAAGUCAGAGGAAACUCUGAUGGAGGCUCGUAGCGCUUCUGACGUGCAAAUCGAUUGCGAGAGCCGGGUAUAGGGGCGAAAGACUAAUCGAACCAUCUAGUAGCUGGUUCCCUCCGAAGUUUCCCUCAGGAUAGCUGGCGCUCGGAUAGUUUCGCCCAAUCAAGCGAA